CAACAGACGGAAACGACUGCUAAUACCGAAUAAGUUCCAAGAGCCGCAUGGCCCAUGGAAGAAAAGGUGGCCUCUACCUGUAAGCUAUCGCCUGAAGAGGGGUUUGCGUCUGAUUAGCUGGUUGGAGGGGUAACGGCCCACCAAGGCGACGAUCAGUAGCCGGUCUGAGAGGAUGAACGGCCACACUGGAACUGAGACACGGUCCAGACUCCUACGGGAGGCAGCAUG
RNAcentral lists this ribosomal RNA (228 nucleotides) under uncultured bacterium. RNAcentral describes it as "partial 16S ribosomal RNA". It matches the Rfam family "Bacterial small subunit ribosomal RNA", at positions 144 to 353 of the family's 1533-position model. The record is from RNAcentral.